GACGAACGCUGGCGGCGCGCUUAACACAUGCAAGUCGAGCGAGAACCAUUCCUUCGGGAAUGGGGACAGCGGCGAACGGGUGAGUAACACGUGGGUAAUCUGCCCUCGAUUCUGGGAUAGCCCGGGGAAACCCGGAUUAAUACCGGAUAGCCUCUCGAGCUUUCGAGCUCGUGAGAAAAGGUAGCUUCGGCCUCCGAUCGAGGAUGAGCCCGCGGCGGAUUAGCUUGUUGGUGGGGAAUGGCCUACCAAGGCAACGAUCCGUAGCUGGUCUGAGAGGACGAUCAGCCACACUGGGACUGAGACACGGCCCAGACUCCUACGGGAGGCAGCAGUGGGGAAUCUUGCGCAAUGGGCGAAAGCCUGACGCAGCGACGCCGCGUGGGGGAAGAAGGCCUCGG
This 398-nucleotide ribosomal RNA is filed under the name uncultured bacterium. RNAcentral describes it as "bacterial SSU rRNA". It matches the Rfam family "Bacterial small subunit ribosomal RNA", at positions 28 to 420 of the family's 1533-position model. The record is from RNAcentral.